Non-coding RNA from Glycine soja, 182 nucleotides. The record is from Rfam. Lineage: Eukaryota; Viridiplantae; Streptophyta; Magnoliopsida; Fabales; Fabaceae.
AUGCCUUUCUCGGCCUUUUGGUAAAGAUCAAGUGUAGUAUUUGUUCUUAUUAGUUUAAUGUCUGAUAUGUGGACCAUCGGUUCACACGAUAUCUUUAAGUGAGAGGGUCAAUUACAGUAGCUUGCUAACACCUGCAAAUAUCAAAUUUGUUCAAACUCAAAGGCAACGCAAGAUAACAUUUU